RNAcentral lists this long non-coding RNA (757 nucleotides) under Homo sapiens (human). RNAcentral's name for it is "non-protein coding lnc-TSG101-2:1". The record is from RNAcentral. Lineage: Eukaryota; Metazoa; Chordata; Mammalia; Primates; Hominidae.
AGCAUUCAACAAGAAUCGCUCAGAGGGUGGCAGAGUGAUGGUCAGCAAAAGCAAGAGCAUCCUUAUGUCCUAUAACCAUGUGGAACUUACAUUCAGUGACAUGAAGAAGAUGCCAGAGGCCUUUAGAAGGACCCAGAAACAUACAAUUUACCUUAUCCCUUACCAGGUCAUCUUUUGGUCCACGGGAAAGGAUGCCAUGCGGUCUUUCAUGAUGCCAUUUUAUCAAAAGGAGUACUAUGAGAAUCAAGUAACUUGUGUGUAGUCCAAACUACAUCGAGGCAACAGUGAAGCAGGAGGUGACUGGGAAGGCUCUGCUUCAUACCUUUACAGCAGGGAGCAUCAUUGAGUUUGGACAAUGGGUGCUACGGGUGGCAUUUUAAGCCUCCAGAGGUAAACCCCCAGUGGAGCCUAUAGAUGCUCUUACAUGCCCGGUGGGGCCUGUGCCUCUCAUCACCAGCUGCAAUGGAAUGCACUCCUGCCCUUCUGUACUCCUAUCCACUACCUCCGCCUGAGUUCUAUCUGGGACCUCCCAUCAUGGAUAGGGCCAUGAAACAGGUGCAGCCCCAUGGCACUGCCCUAUCCUGGGCCCCUGGAACCUCCCAUCAGAAGCCCCAAAAUUCCCUCCAUUCCUGCAGCCAAGGCCGAGAAGCAGCUGCCAGAGCCUAUUACAACCUGGGCAACUCACAUAACAUCUACAUGCAUAGGUACCAGCCUCCACCACCUCCAUACUAUCCUCCCUGGUCUUGGAAGAUAGGAA